RNAcentral lists this ribosomal RNA (210 nucleotides) under uncultured bacterium. RNAcentral's name for it is "partial 16S ribosomal RNA". It matches the Rfam family "Bacterial small subunit ribosomal RNA", at positions 200 to 412 of the family's 1533-position model. The record is from RNAcentral.
UUGAAAGCUCCGGCGGUUGAAGAUGAGUAUGCGUCUGAUUAGCUAGUAGGUGAGGUAACGGCUCACCUAGGCUACGAUCAGUAGGGGAUCUGAGAGGACUAACCCCCACACUGGUACUGAGACACGGACCAGACUCCUACGGGAGGCAGCAGUAAGGAAUAUUGGUCAAUGGAGGCAACUCUGAACCAGCCAUGCCGCGUGCGACGUGCG